AAUCAUACUUACUUUCUAAGAUCAAAUAUCGAUUUAGCCUAGAAGGAAACUUUCUCAUUCUCGCCCUUAUGUCAUACAUAAAAUUAGGGAUAUACCUAUCAGACCUUAAAUUCUAUUGGGGUGGAUUGGCUCCCGUAAUCGAAGAGGCCCAGGAGAACCAAAUCAUAACCUUAUACUUUCCAUGCAUACCUCUAUGAUGACCCAAAAUUUGGACAGCAUCAUGUUGCAUAUAAUAGAAAAUAAUCACCUGUAUAAGCUCG
RNAcentral lists this long non-coding RNA (260 nucleotides) under Capsicum annuum. Its description in RNAcentral is "long non-coding RNA (CANN_LNC020453)". The record is from RNAcentral. Lineage: Eukaryota; Viridiplantae; Streptophyta; Magnoliopsida; Solanales; Solanaceae.